Long non-coding RNA from Schistocerca gregaria, 733 nucleotides. RefSeq lists it as uncharacterized. The transcript has 2 exons. The record is from RefSeq and is a predicted model, not a curated record. Lineage: Eukaryota; Metazoa; Arthropoda; Insecta; Orthoptera; Acrididae.
UGCACAUCGCCGGCCAGUGUGGCCGAGCGGUUCUACGCGCUACAGUCUGCAACCGCGCGACCGCAUCGAUCGCAGUUCCAGAUCAGAUGCUCUCCUGAAGACCUGGAGAAACAUUCAGAAGAAACCCCAGCUAACUGUACACUGCGGUGUAUUAACAGCAGAACAUCAGCGUCUGAAGUCAAGAAAACCACCAUGGCGAACUGCACGACAUAUUGAAGCCUCCAACUUUAACAUCAACGAAGUAUGGAGAAGUCAGUCAGUGAGAAGAAUCGUCAGUGUUCAACGGUCAUCUGGUUGAAAAGCCUCCCAUGCGAUUUCCAGGUUCGACACUCCCCAGACACCAGUGGAGAACCAUCAACCGCAUCCGGACAGGACAAGGGAACUGCGGAUAUCUAAAGCAGAAAUGAGGCUGGGUAACAUCUCCAGAUUGUGACUGUGGAGCUGCCCUGCAAACAAUUAAUCACAUUGUUAGUGAAAACCCGAAACGAGCCUUUGGAGGAUCAGUAAAUGACAUCCACCAUGCAUCACCUGGAGGGUUCAACUGGAUCAACAGAUUAGACUUAGAAAUCUAAGAACUUGUGUAAUGUGUAGACAAUUUAGCAUAAUAAUUUGAACAUUUGAUUCUAUACAUGUAUUUUGCUUGCCAUUUCAUACACUGUAUACUCUUAAAAUUAUGUAUUGAUCCAAGCUCUGUAUCAUCAUACGAUAAAUAAAUAAAAAUUAUAAUAAGUUA